This 1483-nucleotide ribosomal RNA is filed under the name uncultured Bordetella sp. Its description in RNAcentral is "partial 16S-23S ribosomal RNA intergenic spacer". It matches the Rfam family "Bacterial small subunit ribosomal RNA". Lineage: Bacteria; Pseudomonadati; Pseudomonadota; Betaproteobacteria; Burkholderiales; Alcaligenaceae. The record is from RNAcentral.
GGUUUGAUUCUGGCUCAGAUUGAACGCUGGCGGGAUGCUUUACACAUGCAAGUCGAACGGCAGCACGGACUUCGGUCUGGUGGCGAGUGGCGAACGGGUGAGUAAUGUAUCGGAACGUGCCUAGUAGCGGGGGAUAACUACGCGAAAGCGUAGCUAAUACGCCCUUCGGGGGAAAGCGGGGGACCUUCGGGCCUCGCACUAUUAAACAGCCGAUAUCGGAUUAGCUAGUUGGUGGGGUAACGGCUCACCAAGGCGACGAUCCGUAGCUGGUUUGAGAGGACGACCAGCCACACUGGGACUGAGACACGGCCCAGACUCCUACGGGAGGCAGCAGUGGGGAAUUUUGGACAAUGGGGGAAACCCUGAUCCAGCCAUCCCGCGUGUGCGAUGAAGGCCUUCGGGUUGUAAAGCACUUUUGGCAGGAAAGAAACGGCACGGGAUAAUACCCCGUGCAACUGACGGUACCUGCAGAAUAAGCACCGGCUAACUACGUGCCAGCAGCCGCGGUAAUACGUAGGGUGCAAGCGUUAAUCAGAUUACUGGGCGUAAAGCGUGCGCGAGCGGUUCGGAAAGAAAGAUGUGAAAUCCCAGAGCUUAACUUUGGAACUGCAUUUUUAACUACCGAGCUAGAGUGUGUCAGAGGGAGGUGGAAUUCCGCGUGUAGCAGUGAAAUGCGUAGGUAUGCGGAGGAACACCGAUGGCGAAGGCAGCCUCCUGGGAUAACACUGACGCUCAUGCACGAAAGCGUGGGGAGCAGAAGCAGGAUUAGAUACCCUGGUAGUCCACGCCUAAACGAUGUCAACUAGCUGUUGGGGCCUUCGGGCCUUGGUAGCGCAACUAACGCGUGAAGUUGACCGCCUGGGGAAGUACGGUCGCAAGAUUAAAACUCAAAGGAAUUGACGGGGACCCGCACAAGCGGUGGAUGAUGUGGAUUAAUUCGAUGCAACGCGAAAACCUUACCUACCCUUGACAUGUCUGGAGUCCCGAAGAGAUUUGGGAGUGCUCGCAAGAGAACCGGAACACAGGUGCUGCAUGGCUGUCGUCAGCUCGUGUCGUGAGAUGUUGGGUUAAGUCCCGCAACGAGCGCAACCCUUGUCAUUAGUUGCUACGAAGAGGCACUCUAAUGAGACUGCCGGUGACAAACCGGAGGAAGGUGGGGAUGACGUCAAGUCCUCAUGGCCCUUAUGGGUAGGGCUUCACACGUCAUACAAUGGUCGGGACAGAGGGUCGCCAACCCGCGAGGGGGAGCCAAUCCCAGAAACCCGAUCGUAGUCCGGAUCGCAGUCUGCAACUCGACUGCGUGAGGAAGUCCGGAAUCGCUAGUAAUCGCGGAUCAGCAUGUCGCGGUGAAUACGUUCCCGGGUCUUGUACACACCGCCCGUCACACCAUGGGAGUGGGUUUUACCAGAAGUAGUUAGCCUAACCGUAAGGAGGCGAUUACCACGGUAGGAUUCAUGACUGGGGUGAAGUCGUAACGAGGUAG